GUUAAAAUAGUUUAAACAGAAAAUUUUAAUUUGUGAAUUUAAAGAUGAGGUAGAUCUCUUUUAACA
Molecule: transfer RNA, 66 nt
Filed under: Cyphoderus albinus
Lineage: Eukaryota; Metazoa; Arthropoda; Collembola; Entomobryomorpha; Paronellidae
Description: tRNA-His
Rfam family: tRNA
About the family: Transfer RNA (tRNA) molecules are approximately 80 nucleotides in length.
Source: RNAcentral